This is a long non-coding RNA of Armigeres subalbatus, 563 nucleotides long. RefSeq lists it as uncharacterized. The record is from RefSeq and is a predicted model, not a curated record. Lineage: Eukaryota; Metazoa; Arthropoda; Insecta; Diptera; Culicidae. The transcript is spliced from 2 exons.
UUCAAGUUUCUGCCCACAUCUACGUCGAUGAUGAACAAGUGCUCGAGCAAUGCUGCGCACGACACUUACGCGCGUCCGUUCAAUGAAUCUUUCCAUACGCUCGGUCAGCUGGCGCGGCGUGUGAAAUACAGAUUGCGGAGCACUGGGUAUAAAAAAUUCGCAUGUAAGUAAGAGUAGCAUCAAUCUGAACGAUUCAGUCAGCAAGAAAGUUUCGAACUCAUCACGAAUUCGUCUUUGUUAAGUACAGACAUCAUCGAACGUCAUCAUGCCGUGUAAAUGCUGUAAUAGUGAUUGCAGAUGUACCGCUGAAUGCGGCCAGAGCAAGCCGUGCACUGCAGAAUGCAACUGCAACUGCGACUGCAAGAAUGAAACCGGAAAGGAUUGUUGCGAAUCUGGAUGCUGCAGGAAGUGAAGCCCUACAGUAGGCAGGAUUGCGGAACUUUGUUUAAAACACGUGUUUAGAUACUUCAAACUGUGGUUAUGAGUGAUAAAAAACUUGUGAUUUAAUUUGUAAUCAAAAUUAUUUAAUUUUUAAAUAAACAAGGUCAUAAACAUGUAAAGAA